This 602-nucleotide ribosomal RNA is filed under the name uncultured bacterium. Its description in RNAcentral is "bacterial SSU rRNA". It matches the Rfam family "Bacterial small subunit ribosomal RNA", at positions 53 to 653 of the family's 1533-position model. The record is from RNAcentral.
ACAUGCAGUCGAGGGGUAUAAGAGAGCUUGCUUUCUUAGAGACCGGCGCACGGGUGCGUCACUCGUAUGCAAUCUACCUUACUCAGGGGGAUAGCCCGAAGAAACUCGGAUUAACACCGCAUAACAUAUAGUUUCGGCAUCGGAGUUAUAUCAAAUAUUUAUAGGAGUAAGAUGAGCAUGCGUGACAUUAGCUAGUUGGUAAGGUAACGGCUUACCAAGGCGACGAUGUCUAGGGGAUCUGAGAGGAUGACCCCCCGCACUGGUACUGAGACACGGACCAGACUCCUACGGGAGGCAGCAGUAAGGAAUAUUGGUCAAUGGGCGAAAGCCUGAACCAGCCAUGCCGCGUGCAGGAGGACGGCCCUAUGGGUUGUAAACUGCUUUUGUACCGGAAUAAACCUGAUUAUGUAUAGUCAGCUGAAUGUACGGUAAGAAUAAGGAUCGGCUAACUCCGUGCCAGCAGCCGCGGUAAUACGGAGGAUCCAAGCGUUAUCCGGAUUUAUUGGGUUUAAAGGGUGCGUAGGCGGCUUGUUAAGUCAGAGGUGAAAGACGGUAGCUCAACUAUCGCAGUGCCUUUGAUACUGAUGAGCUUGAAUGAAGUU